CGCACGGGUGAGUAACGCGUAUCCAACCUGCCGUCUACUCUUGGACAGCCUUCUGAAAGGAAGAUUAAUACAAGAUGGCAUCAUGAGUCCGCAUGUUCACAUGAUUAAAGGUAUUCCGGUAGACGAUGGGGAUGCGUUCCAUUAGAUAGUAGGCGGGGUAACGGCCCACCAAACCGACGAUGGAUAGGGGUUCUGAGAGGAAGGUCCCCCACAUUGGAACUGAGACACGGUCCAA
Molecule: ribosomal RNA, 235 nt
Filed under: uncultured bacterium
Lineage: Bacteria
Description: partial 16S ribosomal RNA
Rfam family: Bacterial small subunit ribosomal RNA
Source: RNAcentral